RNAcentral lists this microRNA (19 nucleotides) under Gorilla gorilla (western gorilla). RNAcentral describes it as "ggo-miR-4488". The record is from miRBase by way of RNAcentral. Lineage: Eukaryota; Metazoa; Chordata; Mammalia; Primates; Hominidae. RNAcentral also lists the same sequence under 1 other name.
UAGGGGGCGGGCUCCGGCG